CCAUAUCCUUUCACCAGUUCACGACUCAAUAUGAUAUUAUUAGUAAUAUUCCUUCAGGGCACAAUGGCAGAUUCUCAACUAUCCACAAGAAAAUUGUUACUUUAUGCAGUCUCUUACUUAGGAUAAUUUUGAAAUGAUUUUAUCCAGUAAGGUACAACAAGGAAUAGGUCUAAACUCAGUCAUUUUAGAUGGAUGAUGUACCAGCUUUGAGACAAGGUUGACAAUGGUGUAGUUUAUGGAUUUGUACCUCGGGGUAGCAGAGUAAAAGAACUCCAACAAGAGAUAUGUUUAAACCCGGGUGGUAAAGGAAGAAAAAAAUAUGCUACAAGCUGAAGAGGAUGAAAGAAUAACAUGUGCCGGAAGCAACUUGAAGCAAUGUGAAGCAAAACGAAGCAAAAUGAAGCAAAAACCCAGUAGAACUGAACAAUGGCACAACCUGCGAAUCGCAGGUACCAUAUGCGAGUCACAGGUGGUGCAGCACUUGUUGACAGAGAGGAUCAAAUAAGACACCACAGGUGACACCACCUGCGACUCGCAGGUGUAACAUGCGAAUCGCGGAUGGUGUCGCGGAUGCUGCUCAACAAAUAACUAAAGAUGCGACACCUGCGAUGGUCUGGUGAAACCUGCGACUCACGGGUUGAACAUGCGACACUAUGUGCGAAACGCACCUGAUGCACAGGGGCAUUUUUGUCUGGAAAUUGUUCCCGUUUUGGACAUGCUAUAAAUAGAUUUUCUAGGGUUUUGGAUUCAUUUUUAUCCUGCAGUUUUUGGCAGAC
Lycium barbarum (goji berry) is the source of this 776-nucleotide long non-coding RNA. RefSeq lists it as uncharacterized. Lineage: Eukaryota; Viridiplantae; Streptophyta; Magnoliopsida; Solanales; Solanaceae. The record is from RefSeq and is a predicted model, not a curated record. The transcript is spliced from 3 exons.